UCCGUAGGGGGAUUAGUAAGUAGUAUGUAACAGGCGUAGGCUCAACCUGCGUUUCGCAUACUAAACUGCUAGUCUAGAGGAUGUUAGGGGCUGGCGGAAUUUCCGGAGUAGGGGUAAUAUCCGUAGAUACCGGAAGGAACACCAAUAGCGAAGGCAGCCAGCUGGAGCAUUCCUGACCCUCAGGGACGAAAGCGUGGGGAGCGAACA
RNAcentral lists this ribosomal RNA (207 nucleotides) under uncultured bacterium. RNAcentral's name for it is "partial 16S ribosomal RNA". It matches the Rfam family "Bacterial small subunit ribosomal RNA", at positions 568 to 774 of the family's 1533-position model. The record is from RNAcentral.